Molecule: long non-coding RNA, 168 nt
Organism: Pezoporus flaviventris
Lineage: Eukaryota; Metazoa; Chordata; Aves; Psittaciformes; Psittacidae
Exons: 2
Source: RefSeq, a predicted model, not a curated record
UCUCAAAGUUGUUGCUCUUGAUCUCAGAGUUUCAGCAUGUCGUACCUUAUUUACAACCAGUAUUUGCUGGUUUAGUUGUUCAUUGGCUGGGGGGCCUGGGCUAAGGUUCUUGUUUCACUGUACUUUAUGGUAAUGACUUGUAAUACAAUAGACUCAUUGAUCAUGAAA